UACGUAGGGGGGCAAGCGUUGUCCGGAUUUACUGGGCGUAAAGAGCGUGUAGGCGGCCACGCAGGUCCGUUGUGAAAACUGGAGGCUCAACCUCCAGCUGUCGACGGAAACCGUGUGGCUAGAGUCCGGAAGAGGAGAGUGGAAUUCCUGGUGUAGCGGUGAAAUGCGCAGAUAUCAGGAAGAACACCAAUGGCGAAGGCAGCUCUCUGGGACGGUACUGACGCUGAGACGCGAAAGCGUGGGGAGCGAACAGG
This 254-nucleotide ribosomal RNA is filed under the name uncultured bacterium. RNAcentral's name for it is "partial 16S ribosomal RNA". It matches the Rfam family "Bacterial small subunit ribosomal RNA", at positions 524 to 776 of the family's 1533-position model. The record is from RNAcentral.